GACGAACGCUGGCGGCGUGCUUAACACAUGCAAGUCGAGCGGUAAGGCCCGUUUCGGGGGUACGACCGAGCGGCGAACGGGUGAGUAACACGUGGGUGACCGUGCCCUCAGCUCGUGGGAUAAGCCUGGGAAACCGGGUCUAAUACCGGAUAUGACUCCAUGACGCAUGUUGUGGGGUGGAAAGCCUUGUGCGGCUGAGGAUGGGCCCGCGGGCCCUAUCAGCUUGUUGGUGGGGUGAUGGCCUACCAAGGCGACGACGGGUAGCCGGCCU
RNAcentral lists this ribosomal RNA (271 nucleotides) under uncultured bacterium. RNAcentral describes it as "partial 16S ribosomal RNA". It matches the Rfam family "Bacterial small subunit ribosomal RNA", at positions 28 to 293 of the family's 1533-position model. The record is from RNAcentral.